Molecule: long non-coding RNA, 1563 nt
Organism: Callithrix jacchus (white-tufted-ear marmoset)
Lineage: Eukaryota; Metazoa; Chordata; Mammalia; Primates; Cebidae
Source: Ensembl
CCCUAGGGCACAACCAGGGAUCAUCUCAGCUUCUUCAUCUGAGACCUGAGGAAGAGAAUCGUAUCUCCCUCAGAGGAUCGUCGAGAGACAUUUUGCAUAGUGGCUGGCACAGAAUUGAAGAAAAUGUUCACAGAAGGAAGUGAGAUGAUUAAUUGAUUCCGAGGGCCUGUAGCAACUCUGUUUAACAUGCUAGAUGAGCCAGUCUUAUUCAAUGAUGACUAAGGAUCUAGAGAAAACGGGUCUCAGGAUGGUCUUCUUCCCACCUCCUUUCAGUUGGCCUGCAGUGAACAGGAUAUGUCACUGUAUGCUGGUCACUGGAAGAUAGAUUAAGGAGGAGUCAGAAGAGGGAGAACCAAACACAUCGCAGCAUGAAAAGAACUUGGCCUGGAGUUGUUGGCUUUGAAGAUGAAGAAAUGAGUCCAUGAGCCAAGGAAUGCAGCGCCAGAAGUUAGUCCUCCAUAAACAAGGAAGAGAAUCAUCACCAGCAACGGAAUCUGCUGCUGCUGCCAUCUUGAUCCUGGACUUCCAGUCUCCAGAACUGUUGGAAUCCUCUUGCUGGACAAGAGUUCCUGGCAGACGUGGUGCCCGAAAACAGGGACCUGAGAUCAGGGAUUUUGAUGACAUUUGGGUGAGUGGCUGCAGCGAUGUAUAUCCAUUAAGACCUGAAAUGGCUUUCCCUCUGCUCCCCAUCCACGUCAGAUGGAGCAUAAUGUUCUUUGGAGACACAGCAAGCUUUCAGGCUGGAGCAGGCAGCCUCCUCUCAAAGACCAUAUGUUCAGCACUGACAUGGAGGCUGGUGUGGCAAGAGUGGGCGGAGCACACUGUCAUACCAAGCUGGCGUUCGGAAUCCUAAAUAACAGGUUGUGGCCUCGAAGACAGCUAGAGUUAUGCUACCAACCUUUCUUCUCUUGAACUGACUCCUGUAUCCUUUGAAAAGUCUACCUUGGUAAAGUUUAUUGAAGAGACAAGACAGUUUCCUAGUAACAACUCAAUUUUAGAAAUGGAAAUUGAAGCCUCACUCUAUGCAUUAGGAAUGAAUGAUUACAUUUAUUGAGUAUCAGAACAGUUUAAUUCUAAUUCAUUCCUAAGUACUUAUUUUUCUUUGACUAGUCAUCCCUGAGUGAGGAGAAUAUUAAGACUAUUUAGUGACUAAUGAAACUUUAAUCAUAUUGUGUUACACAAAUUACUUGGACGUAAAGUUGGUCAUUGGGAGUGCUGUUAAGGAGUGGGAGAAGCAAGGUACAUAACAUUUUCCUAUGAAAGAGAAGUAUUUCUCUCAAGGCUAGAUACAGUUGGAAAAAGAUUUCAGGAAAACCAUGGCCUGGCUUUAUAUGAUAAACUCCCUGAUAGAUGAUUUCCUUCCUGAAAGUAAAGGUUCUUGGUAAAGCUAGCCCACACCUUCCUGUGGCAAUCUUAGUGGUGUUUAAAACAUUUAUAUGCAGAUAGUUCUUCAUAACUAACCUUCUUUCUUCCUUAUUUCCUCUCUUGCUGGCCUGGAGGAAAUGGAACCCACUGUCAUUUUUCUUCAUUAAAAUAAAUGAAAACAGUCUUUUUGUAUCCAAG